AUCUAGUUGAAGAUUCCCAGAUGGGACGAAACGUGAGUCCUAGAU
This 45-nucleotide non-coding RNA is filed under the name Schistosoma mansoni. The record is from RNAcentral. Lineage: Eukaryota; Metazoa; Platyhelminthes; Trematoda; Strigeidida; Schistosomatidae.